CUGCAUUCUAAACCCUCCUGGCAGCUCUCUUACUAGCUUCCAGGAUAAGAAUGAAUGCUAGAGAAAACUGUUGAUUAAUCCAAAAUGCAGAGCUCUUCUCCCGUGGCUCUCCAUUAUUUCACGUCUUCGACACUU
This 135-nucleotide small nucleolar RNA is filed under the name Phalacrocorax carbo (great cormorant). Its description in RNAcentral is "Small nucleolar RNA SNORA14". It matches the Rfam family "Small nucleolar RNA SNORA14". From Rfam's summary of the family: ACA14 is a member of the H/ACA class of snoRNA that guide the sites of modification of uridines to pseudouridines. Lineage: Eukaryota; Metazoa; Chordata; Aves; Suliformes; Phalacrocoracidae. The record is from Rfam by way of RNAcentral.